GACGAACGCUAGCGGCGUGCUUAACACAUGCAAGUCGAACGGAAAGGCCCUGCUUUUGUGGGGUGCUCGAGUGGCGAACGGGUGAGUAACACGUGAGUAACCUGCCCUUGACUUUGGGAUAACUUCAGGAAACUGGGGCUAAUACCGGAUAGGAGCUCCUGCUGCAUGGUGGGGGUUGGAAAGUUUCGGCGGUUGGGGAUGGACUCGCGGCUUAUCAGCUUGUUGGUGGGGUAGUGGCUUACCAAGGCUUUGACGGGCAGCCGGCCUGAGAGGGUGACCGGCCACAUUGGGACUGAGAUACGGCCCAGACUCCUACGGGAGGCAGCAGUGGGGAAUAUUGCACAAUGGGCGGAAGCCUGAUGCAGCAACGCCGCGUGCGGGAUGACGGCCUUCGGGUUGUAAACCGCUUUCGCCUGUGACGAAGCGUGAGUGACGGUAAUGGGUAAAGAAGCACCGGCUAACUACGUG
This 468-nucleotide ribosomal RNA is filed under the name uncultured bacterium. RNAcentral describes it as "partial 16S ribosomal RNA". It matches the Rfam family "Bacterial small subunit ribosomal RNA", at positions 28 to 507 of the family's 1533-position model. The record is from RNAcentral.